UUCUCCCAAUCACAUAUUCCUUGGACUUAUCGUUUAAGCGUAUAACAUUUAUAUGAGACGGCUCAAACAAUAAUUUUUGCCCUUGAUAUUAAACUAGAUUAGUUUAACAUGUGAAAUGUCCGUAAAGUAUCAUCAUAUGAUUGGUUUUAGGGCACAUUUCCAACAAUUUCCCACUUGCACUAGAGCCAAUCAGCUUGGUCAUCAGUGAUGAUACCUCUUCUGUAGUCAUUUCAUAAAUGGCUGAGUAGUAGGCCUAGACAAUGGAUAUCUAUAUGUUAUCCAUAGUAGCAACCUUGAGAAUAACGACGUCACCAUUAUACAUGAUUCUUAAUCAUGUGGUUCAGUCUCUCAUUUGAGUUCGGAUCUUAAUGAGACCUUGAUUCCCUGGCUUGAGCUAUCGCCCCAUUAGUGUCGUAGUGUCGGUACAC
Molecule: long non-coding RNA, 428 nt
Filed under: Malus domestica (apple)
Lineage: Eukaryota; Viridiplantae; Streptophyta; Magnoliopsida; Rosales; Rosaceae
Description: long non-coding RNA (MDOM_LNC020677)
Source: RNAcentral